GACUCCGUAGCUCAGUUGGUAGAGCAAAUGACUCUUAAUCAUUGGGUCGUGGGUUCGAUCCCCACCGGGGUCA
RNAcentral lists this transfer RNA (73 nucleotides) under Tannerella sp. RNAcentral describes it as "tRNA-Lys". It matches the Rfam family "tRNA". From Rfam's summary of the family: Transfer RNA (tRNA) molecules are approximately 80 nucleotides in length. Their secondary structure includes four short double-helical elements and three loops (D, anti-codon, and T loops). The record is from RNAcentral. Lineage: Bacteria; Pseudomonadati; Bacteroidota; Bacteroidia; Bacteroidales; Tannerellaceae.